GAGAGUUUGAUCCUGGCUCAGAUUGAACGCUGGCGGCAUGCCUAACACAUGCAAGUCGAACGGAAACGAUGGGAGCUUGCUCCCAGGCGUCGAGUGGCGGACGGGUGAGUAAUACUUAGGAAUCUGCCCAUUAGUGGGGGACAACAUUCGGAAACGGAUGCUAAUACCGCAUACGCCCUACGGGGGAAAGCGGGGGAUCUUCGGACCUCGCGCUAAUGGAUGAGCCUAAGUCGGAUUAGCUUGUUGGUGAGGUAAUAGCUCACCAAGGCGACGAUCCGUAGCUGGUCUGAGAGGACGAUCAGCCACACUGGGACUGAGACACGGCCCAGACUCCUACGGGAGGCAGCAGUGGGGAAUAUUGGACAAUGGGCGCAAGCCUGAUCCAGCAAUGCCGCGUGUGUGAAGAAGGCCUGCGGGUUGUAAAGCACUUUCAGUAGAGAAGAAAAGCUUACGGUUAAUACCCGUGAGUCUUGACGUUACCUACAGAAGAAGCUCCGGCUAACUCCGUGCCAGCAGCCGCGGUAAUACGGAGGGAGCGAGCGUUAAUCGGAAUUACUGGGCGUAAAGCGCGCGUAGGCGGCUUUGUAAGUCGGAUGUGAAAGCCCUGGGCUCAACCCAGGAAUUGCAUUCGAUACUGCAGAACUAGAGUAUGGUAGAGGGAAGUGGAAUUUCCGGUGUAGCGGUGAAAUGCGUAGAUAUGAUACAGAACACCGAUCGCGAAGGCAGCUUACGAAACUAUAACUGACGCUCAGGAACGAAAGCGUGGGUAGCGAACAGGAUUAGAUACCCUGGUAGUCCACGCUGUAAACGAUGAUUACUCGUUGUCGGCAAUACACAGUCGGUGGCUAAGCGAAAGUGAUAAGUAAUCCACCUGGGGAGUACGAUCGCAAGGUUGAAACUCAAAGGAAUUGACGGGGGCCCGCACAAGCGGAGGAGCAUGUGGUUUAAUUCGAUGAUACGCGAGGAACCUUACCUGGGCUUAAAUGUAGAUUGCAUGAAGGAAACCUUUCUUUUCUUCGGAACUAUUUACAAGGUGCUGCAUGGUUGUCGUCAGCUCGUGCCGUGAGGUGUCGGGUUAAGUCCCAUAACGAGCGCAACCCCUACUUUUAGUUGCCAUCAGGUCAUGCUGGGGACUCUAAAGGAACUGCCUACGCAAGUAGUGAGGAAGGUGGGGAUGACGUCAAAUCAGCACGGCCCUUACGUCCAGGGCUACACACGUGCUACAAUGGCCGGUACAGAGGGCAGCCACCACGCGAGUGGGAGCAAAUCUCCAAAGCCGGUCUCAGUUCGGAUCGAAGUUUGCAACCCGACUUCGUGAAGCUGGAAUCGCUAGUAAUCGCGCAUCAGCCAUGGCGCGGUGAAUACGUUCCCGGGCCUUGUACACACCGCCCGUCAAGCCAUGGAAGCUGGGAGUACCUGAAGUCGGUAACCGUAAGGAGCCGCCUAGGGUAAAACUAGUAACUAGGGCGAAGUCGUAACAAGGUAGCCGA
RNAcentral lists this ribosomal RNA (1490 nucleotides) under uncultured prokaryote. RNAcentral's name for it is "partial 16S ribosomal RNA". It matches the Rfam family "Bacterial small subunit ribosomal RNA". The record is from RNAcentral.